RNAcentral lists this unclassified non-coding RNA (622 nucleotides) under Dontostemon pinnatifidus. RNAcentral describes it as "sequence contains ITS1, 5.8S rRNA gene and ITS2". The stretch from base 274 to 429 matches the Rfam family "5.8S ribosomal RNA". Lineage: Eukaryota; Viridiplantae; Streptophyta; Magnoliopsida; Brassicales; Brassicaceae. The record is from RNAcentral.
UCGAUACCUGUCCAAAACAGAACGACCAGCGAACGAAAGAUCAUCACUUUCGGCGGGCAGAUUUCCCUUGCGGAUCUCGCGCCUGCCAAUUCCGUGGUUCUGCGCGAUGUUCCCAUGAAUAGUUUCGGCUCGACUGGGUCGCGCGCUCAGCUUCCGGAUAUCACAAAACCCCGGCACGAAAAGUGCCAAGGAACAUGCAACAUAACAGCUUGCAUCCGCUGCCCCGGAGACGGUGUGCGUGCGGAUGCCAAACUGCGAUCUAAAGUCUAAAACGACUCUCGGCAACGGAUAUCUCGGCUCUCGCAUCGAUGAAGAACGUAGCGAAAUGCGAUACUUGGUGUGAAUUGCAGAAUCCCGUGAACCAUCGAGUCUUUGAACGCAAGUUGCGCCCCAAGCCUUCGGGCCGAGGGCACGUCUGCCUGGGUGUCACAAAUCGUCGUCCCCCCAUCCWUCUUGGAUGGUGGACGGAAACUGGUCUCCCGUGUGUUACCGCAUGCGGUUGGCCAAAAUCCGAGCUUAGGACGCCUGGAUCGUCUCGACAUGCGGUGGUGAAACAAAAGCCUAUUCGUUAAGUCGGUCGGUCCUGUCCACAGUGAGCUCCCGAUGACCCAAAGUUCUCAAC